GGGGAUGAAAGGAUUUCGACGGGGAUUUUGAACCGUGAUAAGCGAGCAGUGGUGCGGAACCACUUUAAAAGCCGUAGUUUAUAAAAAUAAACGACAAUAAUACUCAGUUAAUGGCUGCCUAAGUGCGGCCCAUCCUUCCCGGAAGCACUGCGGUCCGGAUAAGGGUGUCGAUCAGCAGUGAACGUGAAUGAAUGAGUAGCCUUGCAAUUCAUCAUGACCUAAAGGAUACCGUAAAGGAAAGCCUGUUUGUCGGCGUUUCUUGAGGGGAAUCUUAAAAGAUAAACUACGCUCGUAGAAAUUCGCGGGAAUUGAUUUUCGGACGCGGUUUCGAUUACCGCCAUCUCCACCA
Ruminococcus sp. CAG:563 is the source of this 349-nucleotide non-coding RNA. It matches the Rfam family "transfer-messenger RNA". From Rfam's summary of the family: Bacterial tmRNA, also known as 10Sa RNA or SsrA, is named for its dual tRNA and mRNA-like properties. Its role is to liberate the mRNA from a stalled ribosome. To accomplish this part of the tmRNA is used as a reading frame that ends in a translation stop signal. Lineage: Bacteria; Bacillati; Bacillota; Clostridia; Eubacteriales; Oscillospiraceae. The record is from Rfam.